UGAAUACGAGAUGCUACGGCGUCGAAGCAGUCUAUGUCAUACUUCCAAGAAAAGCUUGCACUGUCAUAAACAAAUAAUGCCUGUACCAUAACCGACACAGGUGGGUAGGUAGAGUAUACUAAGGGGCGCGAGAUAACUCUCUCUAAGGAACUCGGCAAAAUGACUCCGUAACUUCGGGAGAAGGAGUGCCUUAUUUAUAAGGUUGCAAUAACAAGAUCCAAGCAACUGUUUACCAAAAACACAGGUCUCCGCUAAGUCGUAAGACGAUGUAUGGGGGCUGACGCCUGCCCAGUGCCAGAAGGUUAAAGAAGUUGGUUAGCAUCCGCGAAGCUGAUAACUGAAGCCCUGGUGAACGGCGGCCGUAACAAUAACGGUCCUAAGGUAGCGAAAUUCCUUGUCGGGUAAGUUCCGACCCGCACGAAAGGCGUAAUGAUUUGGAUACUGUCUCGGAGAGGGGCUCGGUGAAAUAGACUUGUCUGUGAAGAUGCGGACUACCUGCACCAGGACAGAAAGACCCUAUGAAGCUUUACUGUAACCUGAAAUUGAAAUUGGACUUUACUUGCGCAGUAUAGGUGGGAGGCGUUGAGAAUAUUCUUGCGGGAUUAUUGGAGCCAUCAGUGAGAUACCACUCUUGUAAUGUUAGAUUUCUAACUUUGUAUCAUUAUCUGGUCAAAGAACAGUUUCAGGCGGCAGUUUGACUGGGGCGGUCGCCUCCCAAACGGUAACGGAGGCGCACAAAGGUUUCCUCUGAACGGGUAGAAAUCGUAUCUAGAGUGUAAAGGCUCAAGGAAGCUUGACUGUGAGACCUACAAGUCGAGCAGGGACGAAAGUCGGUCUUAGUGAUCUGACGGUGCUGAGUGGAAAGGCCGUCACUCAACGGAUAAAAGUUACUCUAAGGAUAACAGGCUGAUCUCCCCCAAGAGUUCACAUCGACGGGGAGGUUUGGCACCUCGAUGUCGGCUCAUCGCAUCCUGGGGCGGUAGUACGUCCCAAGGGUUGGGCUGUUCGCCCAUGAAAGCGGUACGCGAGCUGGGUUCAGAACGUCGUGAGACAGUUCGGUCCAUAUCCGGUGUAGGCGCUAGAAUAUUGAGAGGAGCCUUCUUUAGUACGAGAGGACCGAGAAGGACAUACCUCUGGUGUACCAGUUAUCGUGCCAACGGUAAACGCUGGGUAGCUAUGUGUGGAGUGGAUAACCGCUGAAAGCAUCUAAGUGGGAAGCCCACCUCAAGAUAAG
RNAcentral lists this ribosomal RNA (1234 nucleotides) under metagenome. RNAcentral's name for it is "bacterial LSU rRNA". It matches the Rfam family "Bacterial large subunit ribosomal RNA", at positions 1564 to 2808 of the family's 2925-position model. The record is from RNAcentral.